AGUGAACGCUGGCGGUAGGCCUAACACAUGCAAGUCGAACGGCAGCACAGUAAGAGCUUGCUCUUACGGGUGGCGAGUGGCGGACGGGUGAGGAAUACAUCGGAAUCUACUUUUUCGUGGGGGAUAAUGUAGGGAAACUUACGCUAAUACCGCAUACGACCUACGGGUGAAAGCAGGGGAUCUUCGGACCUUGCGCGAUUGAAUGAGCCGAUGUGGGAUUAGCUAGUUGGCGGGGUACAGGCCCACCCAGGGGACGAUCCGUAGCUGGUCUGAGAGGAUGGUCAGCCACACUGGAACUGAGACACGGACCAGGCUCCUACGGGAGGCGGCAGUGGGGAACAUUGGACAAUGGGCGCGAGCCUGAUCCAGCCAUACCGCGUGGGUGAAGGAGGCCUUCGGGUUGUAAAGCCCUUUUGUUGGGAAAGAAAAGCAGCAGGCUAAUACCCAGCUGUUCUGACGGUACCCAAAGAAUAAGCACCGGCUAACUUCGUG
RNAcentral lists this ribosomal RNA (492 nucleotides) under uncultured bacterium. Its description in RNAcentral is "partial 16S ribosomal RNA". It matches the Rfam family "Bacterial small subunit ribosomal RNA", at positions 29 to 507 of the family's 1533-position model. The record is from RNAcentral.